This 76-nucleotide small RNA is filed under the name Xanthomonas campestris pv. badrii. RNAcentral's name for it is "sX9 sRNA". It matches the Rfam family "Xanthomonas sRNA sX9". Lineage: Bacteria; Pseudomonadati; Pseudomonadota; Gammaproteobacteria; Lysobacterales; Lysobacteraceae. RNAcentral also lists the same sequence under 1 other name. The record is from RNAcentral.
GUGUACCAGGCGCAGACGCAGGUUCCUCUACGCCGUCCGCACCCCCCUGACGACCGCUCGCGGCGUAUUGGUAGCC